Molecule: long non-coding RNA, 224 nt
Organism: Hydra vulgaris (swiftwater hydra)
Lineage: Eukaryota; Metazoa; Cnidaria; Hydrozoa; Anthoathecata; Hydridae
Source: RefSeq, a predicted model, not a curated record
GUAUGAUCAUAUCAUGCUAUUCCUACAAUAUUAUAACUAACACUUACUCUCAUAAGUUUGAGUCUCAAGUCACGAAAAAGGGCCAACUCUCACGUGUUGGCGGAAAGUUACCAAAAUAUGUUAAGAACUUAAUUCAGAGAUAAUGUUGCUAAACGAUUUACAGUCGAUAAUCUUUCGAAAGCAGAAAAACUUAGGUUAGCAUCACAUAGAAAGUUAGCGCAAUU